UUAAGUUAGAAAGGGCGCACGGUGGAUGCCUUGACACUAGGAGUCGAUGAAGGACGGGACUAACGCCGAUAUGCUUCGGGGAGCUGUAAGUAAGCUUUGAUCCGAAGAUUUCCGAAUGGGGAAACCCACCAUACGUAAUGGUAUGGUAUCCUUAUCUGAAUACAUAGGGUAAGGAAGACAGACCCAGGGAACUGAAACAUCUAAGUACCUGGAGGAAGAGAAAGCAAAUGCGAUUUCCUGAGUAGCGGCGAGCGAAACGGAACAUAGCCCAAACCAAGAGGCUUGCCUCUUGGGGUUGUAGGACAUUCUAUACGGAGUUACAAAGGAACGAGGUAGACGAAGCGACCUGGAAAGGUCCGUCGUAGAGGGUAACAACCCCGUAGUCGAAACUUCGUUCUCUCUUGAAUGUAUCCUGAGUACGGCGGAACACGUGAAAUUCCGUCGGAAUCUGGGAGGACCAUCUCCCAAGGCUAAAUACUCCCUAGUGAUCGAUAGUGAACCAGUACCGUGAGGGAAAGGUGAAAAGCACCCCGGAAGGGGAGUGAAAGAGAUCCUGAAACCGUGUGCCUACAAAUAGUCAGAGCCCGUUAACGGGUGAUGGCGUGCCUUUUGUAGAAUGAACCGGCGAGUUACGAUCCCGUGCGAGGUUAAGCUGAAGAGGCGGAGCCGCAGCGAAAGCGAGUCUGAAUAGGGCGUUUAGUACGUGGUCGUAGACCCGAAACCAGGUGAUCUACCCAUGUCCAGGGUGAAGUUCAGGUAACACUGAAUGGAGGCCCGAACCCACGCACGUUGAAAAGUGCGGGGAUGAGGUGUGGGUAGCGGAGAAAUUCCAAUCGAACCUGGAGAUAGCUGGUUCUCCCCGAAAUAGCUUUAGGGCUAGCCUUAAGUGUAAGAGUCUUGGAGGUAGAGCACUGAUUGGACUAGGGGUCCUCAUCGGAUUACCGAAUUCAGUCAAACUCCGAAUGCCAAUGACUUAUCCUUAGGAGUCAGACUGCGAGUGAUAAGAUCCGUAGUCAAAAGGGAAACAGCCCAGACCGCCAGCUAAGGUCCCAAAGUGUGUAUUAAGUGGAAAAGGAUGUGGAGUUGCUUAGACAACUAGGAUGUUGGCUUAGAAGCAGCCACCAUUUAAAGAGUGCGUAAUAGCUCACUAGUCGAGUGACUCUGCGCCGAAAAUGUACCGGGGCUAAAUACACCACCGAAGCUGCGGAUUGAUACCAAUGGUAUCAGUGGUAGGGGAGCGUUCUAAGGACAGUGAAGUCAGACCGGAAGGACUGGUGGAGUGCUUAGAAGUGAGAAUGCCGGUAUGAGUAGCGAAAGACGGGUGAGAAUCCCGUCCACCGAAUGCCUAAGGUUUCCUGAGGAAGGCUCGUCCGCUCAGGGUUAGUCAGGACCUAAGCCGAGGCCGACAGGCGUAGGCGAUGGACAACAGGUUGAUAUUCCUGUACCACCUCUUUAUCGUUUGAGCAAUGGAGGGACGCAGAAGGAUAGAAGAAGCGUGCGAUUGGUUGUGCACGUCCAAGCAGUUAGGCUGAUAAGUAGGCAAAUCCGCUUAUCGUAAAGGCUGAGCUGUGAUGGGGAAGCUCCUUAUGGAGCGAAGUCUUUGAUUCCCCGCUGCCAAGAAAAGCUUCUAGCGAGAUAAAAGGUGCCUGUACCGCAAACCGACACAGGUAGGCGAGGAGAGAAUCCUAAGGUGUGCGAGAGAACUCUGGUUAAGGAACUCGGCAAAAUGACCCCGUAACUUCGGGAGAAGGGGUGCUUUCUUAACGGAAAGCCGCAGUGAAUAGGCCCAAGCGACUGUUUAGCAAAAACACAGCUCUCUGCGAAGCCGUAAGGCGAAGUAUAGGGGGUGACACCUGCCCGGUGCUGGAAGGUUAAGGAGAGGGGUUAGCGUAAGCGAAGCUCUGAACUGAAGCCCCAGUAAACGGCGGCCGUAACUAUAACGGUCCUAAGGUAGCGAAAUUCCUUGUCGGGUAAGUUCCGACCC
This 1984-nucleotide ribosomal RNA is filed under the name Streptococcus pneumoniae. Its description in RNAcentral is "bacterial LSU rRNA". It matches the Rfam family "Bacterial large subunit ribosomal RNA", at positions 3 to 1989 of the family's 2925-position model. The record is from RNAcentral. Lineage: Bacteria; Bacillati; Bacillota; Bacilli; Lactobacillales; Streptococcaceae.